RNAcentral lists this ribosomal RNA (520 nucleotides) under uncultured Glomeromycotina. RNAcentral describes it as "SSU rRNA". It matches the Rfam family "Eukaryotic small subunit ribosomal RNA", at positions 569 to 1090 of the family's 1831-position model. The record is from RNAcentral. Lineage: Eukaryota; Fungi; Glomeromycota.
AGCAGCCGCGGUAAUUCCAGCUCCAAUAGCGUAUAUUAAAGUUGUUGCAGUUAAAAAGCUACGUAGUUGAAUUUCGGGAUUAGUACGCUGGUCAUGCCUUUGGUAUGUACUGGUGUUACUGAUUCCUACCUUCUGAAGAACCGUUAUGUCAUUCAUUUGGUGUGGCGGGGAAUCAGGGCUGUUACUUUGAAAAAAUUAGAGUGUUUAAAGCAGGCUCGCGCUUGAAUACAUUAGCAUGGAAUAAUGAAAUAGGACGUUGAUCCUAUUUUGUUGGUUUCUAGGAUUGACGUAAUGAUUAAUAGGGAUAGUUGGGGGCAUUAGUAUUCAAUUGUCAGAGGUGAAAUUCUUGGAUUUAUUGAAGACUAACUACUGCGAAAGCAUUUGCCAAGGAUGUUUUCAUUAAUCAAGAACGAAAGUUAGGGGAUCGAAGACGAUCAGAUACCGUCGUAGUCUUAACCAUAAACUAUGCCGACUAGGGAUCGGAUGAUGUUAAUUUUUUAAUGACUCAUUCGGCGCCUUA